RNAcentral lists this transfer RNA (77 nucleotides) under Porphyromonadaceae bacterium CG2_30_38_12. RNAcentral's name for it is "tRNA-Arg". It matches the Rfam family "tRNA". From Rfam's summary of the family: Transfer RNA (tRNA) molecules are approximately 80 nucleotides in length. Lineage: Bacteria; Pseudomonadati; Bacteroidota; Bacteroidia; Bacteroidales; Porphyromonadaceae. The record is from RNAcentral.
GGUCUUGUAGCUCAGCUGGAUAGAGCAACAGCCUUCUAAGCUGUGGGUCAUGGGUUCGAAUCCCAUCGAGAUCACCA